Molecule: ribosomal RNA, 459 nt
Filed under: uncultured bacterium
Lineage: Bacteria
Description: partial 16S ribosomal RNA
Rfam family: Bacterial small subunit ribosomal RNA
Source: RNAcentral
CCUACGGGCGGCAGCAGUGAGGAAUAUUGGUCAAUGGCCGGAAGGCUGAACCAGCCAAGCCGCGUGAAGGACGAAGGUGCCAAGCAUUGUAAACUUCUUUUGUCAAGGGACAAAAUCAGGCUCGAGAGCCUGACCGAGGGUACUUGAAGAAAAAGCAUCGGCUAACUCCGUGCCAGCAGCCGCGGUAAUACGGAGGAUGCGAGCGUUAUCCGGAUUUAUUGGGUUUAAAGGGUGCGUAGGCGGACUGUUAAGUCAGCGGUAAAAGCCCGGGGCUAAACCCCGGCGAGCCGUUGAAACUGGCGGUCUUGAGAUGUCGAGAGGUAUGCGGAAUGCGCGGUGUAGCGGUGAAAUGCUUAGAUAUUGCGCAGAACUCCGAUUGCGAAGGCAGCAUACCGGCGGCGAUCUGACGCUGAGGCACGAAAGCGUGGGUAUCGAACAGGAUUAGAUACCCCGGUAGUC